UCUCGGUGCUUAAAUAACUAUUGUUACCGUAUAGAGCCGAUUCUCUGCUUCACAUUAUAUGAGUAUGUUAUAUGUGUUACACUCUAUUGGUAAAAGUUUUUCACUCGGUAAAUGUAAACGGAACGAUUAAUUAAGUUGAUUAAAGUCCGGCAACAAUAACAAAACAAUGUUUUGAUGCGCUUCAGGAUAUUCUAUAAUUCUAUAUUCAUACAAUAUACUCGUUACGUAAUUAUAAGCUUUGAUGUGUGCUUUGAAGCUGUUUCACCUGUUGAAUGGAAUAAUAUCGGUACAAUCUCAUUGAUAGAUAAUUUUCCGAUUUUCAAGUUCAAGUUCGAAAUGUAAUGGUGGUGUACUAUAGUUUGGUGAUUUAAACACUCAUUGGAACGCAAAUGGUUGACCAAUGAUCACGUAUUACGAAAUUUUCUCUAAGCUUGUGCAUAGAUAAACUGAAAAAUUGUGUUCAGUUGUUUCUGAGACGGUUUUGUAUCUGUUGUUUAAAUAGCUGUGCGAUAAUUAAAAAAAAAAAUUAAAGUGGUGUAACGUGUUGUGGACUGAGCUGAUACAAAAUAUUUGCCAAGGAAUCGUGCAGUUGUUAACUUUCGUAUGACUAACAAGCAAAAAAGUAAUAUGCAACAGUUUUUAAGUUAUCAAACAGCAAGGCGUAUAUACGGAGAAAGAAGCUACAAGAAAUAUGUGACUAAGCGGACGUUAAUUUCGCUUACAUUCAGUAUCGGAUUUUUUACGUUAAUUGUGGGUUUCCUUCUUGGUAAAUUUGUAUCACAGCGUCAGUUUAAACUGAGGCAAUUAUACGAGCCCGAAGUGAUACAACUGGUACGAUCGAUUCUGCAUGCAAAACAAAUUGCCGAAAAUAUGUGGGAAUCAUCAAUUACACGUUUCAACAAUGAUUCAUUACCCACUACAUUCAACGACUCUAUGCCAACGUUUAAUCAAAUAAAUUCAAAUUUACUUGCAAAAAUGAAAUAUUGUGGUCAUCCGAUACAUCCGAUAUUGAUUGAUUCUGGUAAUUUUGUCGGUCAACUGUUGGACGACGAAAUGGUUCGAUUGUUGAAUUGUUUGACAGAAUUGAAUCGUCUGCUGAACGAUUUAGGGAAUGAAAUGGUUUAAAAUAUUUAAAAAAGAAAUCGAGACAAGGAUACAUAUACGUGUAUGUAUAUUAUGGAGAGGUAUACACAGUUUAACCAAAAUUCAUAAAUUAUGAACGAUGUGAAGCAAUGCAGUCCGGUUCUAAUUUAAUAUGUAAAUUAUUAUGUCUAGCUUAUAACAUGUUAUGUUGUAUAAUGUGGGCAAUGCUUGCGGUUGUAGUAUUAAGCGUUUAUAACUUGCAAUUGUUUCAUUGUUCCGGGUGUCGUGAGAACGUUUCAGGCCGGCGCUGCUUAGCCGACGCUACAAGGUUGAGCAUUUUGUUAUCGCAAGCAUAAAUACUAACAUUUCGCAACUCAGUGACGAAACUCCUGUUGCUUUCAUUGUUGUAUGCAGCUCACUUUAGCAAUUAUCAGUCGGUGGCACAAAUAGUUAUUGCAAAUGCGAAACUAAAACCAUUUAAAUCCGGAGUAGAUAUGUUCGCCGGUCAAUUUUUGUUAAUACGAUCGGCGGUGAGUAGGGUGGCUUGAUUUUUAAAGUUCGAUUAUUUUCCAAUAUUUGAUGAGUUGAGACACAUUGUGGAAAAUUAACUUCAUUUCUAUCUGGGAAGGUGGGUAUGGUCGAGUGGGGUGUCAAUGGAUAGAGCUUGAAGUAAGCUACAAAACUCCUGGUUAGAGCUUCCUGCUACUAACUUUCCCAGCCGCCCAGAGCCAUUCAAAAAUUUCUGUUUUCUCGAGGUUUUUCACUUGUUGCGGCGGCUGGGUGGGCAGAACAUCGGUGUUUGUUGGUCAACAAUAUUCAGCUCAUUGACCUUUAUAAACGUGCACAAUUUGACAUUAUUCACAUCUCGCAUGUUGAAGUAAUUGAUAAAAAAACGAUUUUCGCGACCACUUCGGAGAAAAAUUUUCUAAGGGCCAUGACAGCCCAACAAAAAAU
This is a long non-coding RNA of Bradysia coprophila, 2037 nucleotides long. Lineage: Eukaryota; Metazoa; Arthropoda; Insecta; Diptera; Sciaridae. The record is from RefSeq and is a predicted model, not a curated record.